GCCCGGGUGGCUCAGUCAGUUAAGUACCUGACUUUGGCUCAGGUCAUGAUCUCAAAGUCUGUGAGUUCAAGUCCCACGUCGGGCU
Molecule: transfer RNA, 85 nt
Filed under: Felis catus (domestic cat)
Lineage: Eukaryota; Metazoa; Chordata; Mammalia; Carnivora; Felidae
Rfam family: tRNA
About the family: Transfer RNA (tRNA) molecules are approximately 80 nucleotides in length. Their secondary structure includes four short double-helical elements and three loops (D, anti-codon, and T loops).
Source: Rfam by way of RNAcentral